Molecule: long non-coding RNA, 3159 nt
Organism: Schistocerca gregaria
Lineage: Eukaryota; Metazoa; Arthropoda; Insecta; Orthoptera; Acrididae
Exons: 4
Source: RefSeq, a predicted model, not a curated record
UGCGUGCCAUAUGUUGGCAGAAUUUCGUACUUCUCCUAGUGGACCUGUUGUCUAGCUGCGAUUUCAGCGAGAAGCAGCAAGUAGCAACUAAAAAGCACCAUUGACAUUCAACGCCGUGUGCCAUGUUAUGGACUACGUUCUUUAUGAGACACUAUCGAAUGUAACUGCGAUUUCCGCGACAUGUCAGCAGAUAGAUACUUUAUGCCAUCUGUUGUCCUACGUCCGUACUUCGUUCUAAGGACUUUGUCUCUCACGAUAUGGAUGUAUUAUACGCUUAUGGUUGAAGAAACGAACCAAGAAGCUAAUUUUUUCUGAGAAAAAUUUUAUACUCGGUUGAGAAUUGGUGCAGCUGAGGAUGUGAAUAUCGAGUAAAGGUUGUGCUAAUCGACAGACCUAUGGAAACCCUUCAAUUUUCGUGACAGUUUAAACACACUCAUCAUAAAAGCUAAAACUGCAGGUGGGACUCAGCAGCAUCAGCGUAUCCCUUAAAGAUGGCAUAGUGAUGGAUCACCGAAAUAUGGAGUAAUGUUGCUUUUAGGAUCCUGCAACAAACCCAAGACAGGACUACCAAGAAUCCGUUAAGUUACAGGUUUCCUGUUUUAUCACUGCAAGCCUGGGCAGAAGCUUGUCCUGCCUCCAGCAGCUAUUCUACCUUUUUCCAAAACAUUUGCAUCUCUUUGUAAGUAUUCAUGGAAAUCUCUAUUACGUCUUGUUGUUUGACAAGACCCAAGUUUUCUGUCAGAAAGUGAUACUGCAAACAAUCAUUUGUCAUAUCACUAAAAUCUGGAUUGUAGGUCAUUCAAUAGAAGUUGACAUCUUCACAGUAUUGUAAUUUAAAGUUGUGAAAACUCUCAAAGACUGGCAUUCAAAAAUAGUCUCCCACGAGAAAUGAGGCAAUAGACUACAAGUUGUGCUGUCUGUUGGGUAUUUGGUUGCACUUUUUUGUUACUGAUAAGCUAUGUAUGGUAUGUGUUUCUAAUUGUGAUUUUCACAAAUUCUAGAGAUGGAAUCAAUGUGUAUAUUAAGGCACAUGCUUGACAUAACAAACCCCCUGCAAACUGACAAAUUUAAUAGAAGUGCCUAGGAAAAAUGUGAAUGAUCUUUUUUUCCUUAUCCAGAUGCAGUCUGAAAAUAUUUACCAAGAUCUUUUACUUUACUAUCACAAUUAUGCAUACUCUAUGUGAGGGAAUUAAACAGAUUUUGUUAGUUAGGUCUGAACUGCUAAUGUAAAAGUAAUAUUUAGUAACUGGUGAGAUUCAAACAUCAGGCUGAAGUAGUGGCUAUGUCCAACAUGUGAAAACAACAGGACAGAUUAAUCUGUAUGGAUUAAGUUCUCAACAUGCUUUCAUUUAACCAGAAACAAAAAAUAAAAGAGCCAAUACCAGUAUUUAUUAGUAGAAACCUCAUCAACUUUACAUGAAGGGCCAGGGAAAAAGAGAGCAGGCAACCUCUUUUUGAGUAGUUGUUAUAGCUCUAUUCAGACUGAUCAUACGCACCUGUUGAGAGGCUAAAAUUGAAGGUGGGGAGCCUCAGGUGAGUCCAGAGAUAUUAGCAUACAAAGUUUUACCAUAAAGGGAAAGAACCAGGUAAGCCAAUUUUUCAGGGGAAGGAAGGAGGCAAAUCAGUGGUGACAUGAGAGGCCAAAGUAAACGUAAGGUCACCAAAAAUAUGCAGAUAUGUGCAGAAAAGUCUAAAAACAAGUGGAUGUGUGUACUUUGACAAAAGAGGAAAGCAUCCUACUUUCUUCAACCGAGAAUCAUCAUAGCUCGAAGAGCCACUGCAGCCUCAGAUUCCGAGAAAACCAACUUGACUGAAAAUCUAAAUAUAAAGAGCAUGUGCAAUACUUUUAAUCAAAUUCAUCCUGGCACAUUUGUAUUAUAUGACAUUUCACAAUGCUUUUCGAACACAAAAUCCAAUGCUUUGUUUGGAUAUCCUUGUGCUGACACUUGGGCUGAGUGUGAGGUAUUCACAACAAAAAUGAAAACUUUAACAAUGGAGAAAUGUAAGGCACAAACUCGUCAGUUAACAACAAACAUUCCUCACAUGAAAAAAAAGCUGAAGUGUUUGAUGAUUUGAAAAUGAGCUCCAAAUUGCAGGUGAAGAAAAUUAACAAGAAGACGGCUAUCUGCACAUACUGCAAUAAAUGUGCCCCUUCAAAAUAUAGCAUGUGAUGACCUUCACUUUACAUGGCAAAUUUUGAUGUGCUCAUUCAAAACCCAUUUUCUUGCAACAGGUGAAUCCUUUUUUAUCUUUAUCCUGAAUGCACUGUGAAAAAGAGGGUAUGUGAAGUGAUGUCAUUCCUUUUUCACUUCAUCACUCAUGGUUUAAAUGAGGUCUCUAAAGAGCUCUGUAUAAUCUGUGGAUGAUCAAAAAUAAAUACUUAGUCUUCUUCUUCAUUCACUAGGCAACUCUCAAAUUGGCAAUCUGAAGAAGAUCACAAUUACAUUCCCUGUGUGUGGCCAUUCAUACUUAGAAUGUGACAAAAAUGUUGGAUUAUGGAACACACAGACGCUGAUUUUCAAAUGGCCGAAGAUUUCAAGGAAAUGAUCAAAGUAUGCAGAUAUAAGCCAUCCCCUUGGAUUCUGGCCAGUGUAAAUCAAGAAACUGUGUUAGACUGGAAAUCACUGCAAAAUUCCAUUUCAAAAUGCAGCCUAUUAAGAUAAUAUUGUCUGAAUCCAGCCACUACUGUGUGCUGAAAUAUCAAAGGACUUAUCAGGGUGGAAUGCAAACUGGCAUCAUAAGAGCACCAUUAUGACAACCAGAUCCGGGAUGUUUUAACUGUGCACACCUGUUUAUAAUGGUGUGCUUGAUUUCAGAAUUCCUUUUUUGUCUGAUGUACAAUAGCUUUACAGUUACCUCCUGUUCACUGUAAUAUAACAAUUGCAUUCUUUAUGCUAGAUUUCCAGGCUAGAAUGUAACAUUUGCAAACUGUGGCAACCUUCACAGCAGCAAGAUGACAAAACUUCAGCUUCUCCAUAGCUAAAUAUGAGUGAAGUUUGAUUGCAUUUUUGGAAAUUAUCUCGUUCUGGGAACACAAUGGAUGCCAAUAACACAAUUUUCACAUGCACCCAACCAAGAAGUUUCAAUUGUGACAUGAAAAUUGUGUAUGUACUCAUAUACUGAUGUUACCACAAUUCAAACAUUAAAAGAUCGCUUUUU